RNAcentral lists this long non-coding RNA (307 nucleotides) under Androctonus crassicauda. Lineage: Eukaryota; Metazoa; Arthropoda; Arachnida; Scorpiones; Buthidae. The record is from RNAcentral.
CUAUGCUUUAAUUAUGUUCAAUUUCUAACAAUGAAAGUAAAUCCUGCAUAUUAGAUAUUUAUACUACGAUUUAUAACAAUAGAAAAAUUAGAGUUAUGAAAUAGCAAUGAAAAUAAUUUUAUGGUUAGGGGUCACCACAACAUGAGGAACAGUAUUAAAAGGUCGCGUCAUUAGGAAGGUUGAGAACCACUGUUCUAAUAGAAUCUGAUCCCGUCAAUUUUUGUGGUAAAAUUAUUUUCCUAUGAUCAGUAUUUUUGGAGAUAUUUAGGAAUAAAAGAACCAUUCAGAAAGACAUAAUUUAUUGCCC